This is a long non-coding RNA of Austrofundulus limnaeus, 352 nucleotides long. RefSeq lists it as uncharacterized. NCBI's taxonomy places the organism in Eukaryota, Metazoa, Chordata, Actinopteri, Cyprinodontiformes, Rivulidae. The transcript is spliced from 3 exons. The record is from RefSeq and is a predicted model, not a curated record.
GAAACAUCCAGAAGCUGUUGGGAAAGAAAAGUUUCCAUCGACACUUUCAUGUCAUUUUAGUCCAGUUUCAGGUCUUUUUUGUUCWUUUUGAACUUAUGGCCGAGCAAACAAACAAUUUGAAUAACAAAAYGGGGAAAUGUCUUCAACAUAACGAGGUCGAAGAGGAUGAAUCAAGGUCACACAGCCAGAAAGAUGGACACAAAUGGAUCUUCACCGUGGACCAAGAUGCCAAAAUGGAGACCAUCACUACAUCCAAAGCAACUUACGGCCCCAUAAAUAACCCAGGAGUCAGACUGAAAGGCGCCAGAAGAGAGCUUUUGGAAAAACAUCUUACUCAGWUGAUAAGGUAAGC